UACCCUCGGUCGAAAAAGGUUAACCAUAAGAAGUCAGAUGAAGUCAUAGUAGGUAGAAAUACUGAAGGAC
This 70-nucleotide non-coding RNA is filed under the name Thomasclavelia cocleata. The record is from RNAcentral. Lineage: Bacteria; Bacillati; Bacillota; Erysipelotrichia; Erysipelotrichales; Coprobacillaceae.